UACUACUAGUAGUAUUCAUUGAACCUUGUGACAGCGAGCAAAGUCUUACUGAGUAGAGGUCGAAACUGGAAAGACGAAAGUGGCUUUACAAGAGCAAACACUACGUCACUAGUGCUAGCAAGUUGCCAACAAUGUUCCUACGAAGGGUGUGAAGUGAAGCAGGCAUCAACCCAUGAAGAUAUCAAGUGGAUGUGGCUCAUUGACCAGGACAUUCUGAAGAACCUGCCAGAUGUCAUUACAAGCAGCAACAACACUCAACAGUUAGGACUGCCCACCAUCAUGGUUGACAACACCCACAGAGCAGAGUGGAUGGAUGGGAGUGGAGAAUCACGCAGGAAUUCUGAUUGUUCACGACCAAGUGCUGCUUGGAAAAGCCAGGAUGUGUAGCCUUCAUGUGGCCCGAACCAGAGAAAGACAGCAGAUCCAGCACUCCUGCUCAGCCAGCAGCAUUCGCCAUCAACUCCGAAGGGCACUGAUGAUAAUGCACAAGUACCAGCCACCAAGAUGGCGGCCCAGUGGGGGUGCACGCAUGGUCUAGAGAAUCAUCGGGUGUCUCUUGUGGCGAAGCAAGCUACAUAGCUGUACUACUGGCUACUGUACAAGCAUGGGAUUCAUGGUGCUUCUCUUCCUGAUAGGUAUGAUAGUGAAGCCGACUGGCCAUGCAGCUCCCCUGGAACUCUCGUCACCCAUGUAUGGGACUGCAAAUUGAGUUUCUUCUCCGAUUGAUUCGCCGAUAAGCAGUUUGUGUCACAACACUGUCCAUACUGGUCCCCAAGCCAUUGAUACUUGAUGAGCACAAACUAGCCAAACAGCUGCCAGUAAGAUGGACUAUUGUGGUGGCCAUUGCACCCAGACCUGCUGGACCUAGUGUUCCUGUUCUUGUUGUUCAGUGCCCUGGCCGGCCUCUUUACCUGUGUAGCUCAUCAGGAUAGCCAGUCCAGUUGGAUUGGAAUGCAGCACUGUGUGAGGCUUUGCCACUGAUCAUAUCCUAGGAAAACUAGAGGCAAUGCCUACUACCAGGAGUACAUAAGUUACCUAAGGAUUAUGUGCUCUUGCUACUACCGGUACUAGUAGUAGUAACUUUAAUUCCAACUGCACGGGACUGUAUUGUCGCUGCAAACGGUCUGCAACAGCCAAUCCGAACCUCACACUGAGCAGGGCCAGUGCAUACUGCAUACUCCUCAGACUAAUGCAUGUUAUGACGUGGCACUUUGACGCCAGCAAGGCGCGGGCGGGCCAUACUGAUAAUAC
Sycon ciliatum is the source of this 1251-nucleotide long non-coding RNA. RefSeq lists it as uncharacterized. The record is from RefSeq and is a predicted model, not a curated record. The transcript is spliced from 4 exons. NCBI's taxonomy places the organism in Eukaryota, Metazoa, Porifera, Calcarea, Leucosolenida, Sycettidae.